Molecule: regulatory RNA element, 174 nt
Organism: Micromonospora siamensis
Lineage: Bacteria; Bacillati; Actinomycetota; Actinomycetes; Micromonosporales; Micromonosporaceae
Rfam family: FMN riboswitch aptamer (RFN element)
About the family: The RFN element is a highly conserved domain that is found frequently in the 5'-untranslated regions of prokaryotic mRNAs that encode for flavin mononucleotide (FMN) biosynthesis and transport proteins. This element is a metabolite-dependent riboswitch that directly binds FMN in the absence of proteins.
Source: Rfam
ACGCGCUGGCGGGGCUCGGUGAAAUUCCGAACCGGCGGUGAUCCACGGUCCGACCGUGGUAAGCCCGCGACCCGGACGGCUUCGGCCGUGCGGUGGACCUGGUGAGAAUCCGGGGCCGACGGUUGGCGACGGCACGUUCGCGUCGCCAGAAAGUCCGGAUGGGAGACAGCGCGC